GUCUUUUAGAUUAUAAUUUAAAGUCUAACCUGCCCACUGAAAUUUUAAAGGGCCGCAGUAUUUUAACUGUGCAAAGGUAGCAUAAUAAUUAGUUUCUUAAUUAGAAGCUGGUAUGAAUGGUUGAACGAGAAAUUAACUGUCUCGAUUUAUAAGUUAGAAUUUUAUUUUUAAGUUAAAAAGCUUAAAUAUAUUUAAAAGACGAGAAGACCCUAUAGAGUUUUAUAAUUUAUAAAAUUUAAAUUUUAGAAUUUUGUCUUAUUUUAUUAAUUAUUUUGUUGGGGUGAUAUAUAAAUUUAUAAAACUUUAUAUUUUUAUUAACAUAAAUUUAUGAAUUAUUGAUCCAUUAUUAAUGAUUAAAAGAAAAAAUUACCUUAGGGAUAACAGCGUUAUUUUUUUUAAGAGUUCAAAUCGAAAAAAAAGAUUGCGACCUCGAUGUUGGAUUAAAGUUAAUUUUUGGUGUAGAAGCUAUAAAAUUAGGUCUGUUCGACCUUUAAAACUUUACAUGAUCUGAGUUUAAACCGGUGUGAGCCAGGUUGGUUUCUAUCUUUAAAUAAAAUAAAUAUUUUAGUACGAAAGGACCAAGUAUUUUUAAUAAUUAAUUUAUUUGAAUA
RNAcentral lists this ribosomal RNA (611 nucleotides) under Hydraena croatica. RNAcentral's name for it is "partial 16S ribosomal RNA". It matches the Rfam family "Bacterial large subunit ribosomal RNA", at positions 1830 to 2724 of the family's 2925-position model. The record is from RNAcentral. Lineage: Eukaryota; Metazoa; Arthropoda; Insecta; Coleoptera; Hydraenidae.